RNAcentral lists this long non-coding RNA (438 nucleotides) under Oryza brachyantha (malo sina). Its description in RNAcentral is "long non-coding RNA (OBRA_LNC002982)". The record is from RNAcentral. Lineage: Eukaryota; Viridiplantae; Streptophyta; Magnoliopsida; Poales; Poaceae.
UACCAGAAGGUAUCAAAUCUUACAUAGAAAAAAGUGGUUACCUUCUGGUACCUUCUUAAUAACGAUAAAAUUACUCUUUUAUUUAUAAAAUCCUCGAUCAUUGCCACUAGGCAUGUGAAACAUCACGAAUACACCAUCUGCUACACGGUAAGCUUAGACCACCGAAUCUCACGGACAGUUAUCAAGCAAAUGCAUUCAGCAUCCUUACCCAGAAGAGGGUUAAGGAAGACAUGGAGAGACCUUGUGUUCAUUGUGGCAUACACAGUUGUGAUCUGGUUUGACACCUCUAAUCAUAUGCCUCCAAACUAUUCAAGCUCAUGCCCAAUCAUUAAGAUAUAUGGAGUAGUUCAUAAUCCAAGCUAGUAUUCUGUUGAAUGUAAAAUCUAGAUGACUGACCCACCUGAUCAUAUUUUUCUGUCAAUGUCACAUUGUAACCGU